This 198-nucleotide ribosomal RNA is filed under the name Triticum aestivum (bread wheat). RNAcentral describes it as "partial small subunit ribosomal RNA". The record is from RNAcentral. Lineage: Eukaryota; Viridiplantae; Streptophyta; Magnoliopsida; Poales; Poaceae.
AUGCUGACACGAAACAAUUAUGCUUCGUGGGCACUGAGGAUGCGAGUGAUCCUGCAAGCACACGGUGUGUGGGAUGCUGUCAUCAAGGACGACGUAGACGAGCACAUGGAUAGACAGGCCAUUGCGGUCAUCUAUCAGGGUAUCCCGGAAGAUGUACUUCUAAUGUUGGCUGAGAAGGACUCGGCCAAGAAGACAUAG